RNAcentral lists this long non-coding RNA (730 nucleotides) under Nicotiana benthamiana. RNAcentral's name for it is "long non-coding RNA (NBEN_LNC041488)". The record is from RNAcentral. Lineage: Eukaryota; Viridiplantae; Streptophyta; Magnoliopsida; Solanales; Solanaceae.
UUUAUUCAAAACCUUAUGAACAACUCAACAGGCGCCUCGAAAACACACUAAUGAUCAAUACAAAAUCAGUGAGAGAACAGAAACAUCUUGCAAAACGAGAGGGAGCAGGGGGCAUUUUCUAAAACCAAAUUGCAGAAGCAAUUAAUAGCAACAAAGCGUCCACCAUGUAGAGGGGAUAAAGCCUUCUCAUUUAUAUAACCAAAUAAGAAUUAUAGAGCGGGAUAUCAAUAAAUUCAUAGUCCUCACACAAUCUACUACCUUCUAUACUAAAAGACGUCUAUUACAUUACAAUACAACUCAAGAGUUUCGUUGUCCAACAAUACAACUCUAGGAGACUUAAAAUCUUCUUAACAGAUGUGACAAUACACAAUCAAAUAUUGGCAUAAAUCAAGGAAAAUCUCAAAGUGAGAUGAUACAAAUUGAAUAAUGUGGAAGAUUACAUUAAUGACAUAGCCUAUCUUUGAACAUAAUACUUGUAGCAAUUACCACCAGCCGAUUACCUUAACAUAUACCAUGCAAUUGAAAUGAACAUUGGCUACAUUGGCUUAACCCAACUUCAGGCAUAAAUCGGGGAAAAUCUUGAAGUGAGAUGAUACAAAUUGAAUAAUGUGGAAGAUUACAUUGAUGAUAUAUCCUAUCUCUGAACAUAAUACUUGUAACAAUUACCACCAGCCGAUUACCUUAAAAUACACCCUGCAAUUUAAACGAACAUUGGCUACAUAGGCUUUAA